Molecule: long non-coding RNA, 3402 nt
Filed under: Homo sapiens (human)
Lineage: Eukaryota; Metazoa; Chordata; Mammalia; Primates; Hominidae
Description: non-protein coding LINC02541:53
Source: RNAcentral
GUCAUUCUGCUCUGGGUUCAGACGUGCACUGCAGCAGCACCGGGACUUGACAGCCCUACGGCUCGAUCAGCUUUCUGUUUUCAUUGCCUUACGAUGCCAUGAGUGGAACUAUUGUCAAAUCAGAGUUCACUCCCCAGCUUUUCAGUCUUUCCCCUAAUUCUUGCUCUAUCAGAGGUCGAGGACAACAGUAUAAUGAUUCAUAGGUUCUACUUCCUGGCAAGUAAUCAUUUUCCCACGGGCCCUUGUGAAUUGAUGAAUAUGAAGACACUAAGAAAGCAGAAAUAGAACUGAGAAGAAUGAAAUAACUGUCUCUACCUUUCUCGAAUUGUCUAAUAUGGAAAGAAUGAAAGACAGCUAAUAAGCAACUCUCUGCAAGAAGACAUAUGGCUUAGGUUCUGCUGAGCUAUUGGUGAUUUGAUUCCAUGCAUAUGUAUUCACUACUGAGAUGGGAUCUUGCUAUGUGGCCCAGGCUGGCCUCAAACUCCUGGCCUCAAGAUAUUUCCCCCUGCCUUGGCCUCUCAAAGUGAAUCUACUUGGAGAGAGUCAAACACAGAAUCCCUUUGAAUUUAAUGGCCAUUCCAGGUGAUUUGAACAGCCAAAUAAGAAACAGGUCCUCUUCAAUGUACAAUCUGCCAAGUAUGAAGUCUGAAUGACCAUCAUUAUUAUGUAUUUAAUGUGCAUAGAAAAUCUAUCUGCAACCUUCCAGAGUGUACCAGAAGUUUGGAAUGUACAUUAUUAUUGGCUCCAUCUCAAACCACUCAUAAAUCAAAGAAAAUAGCAGUUCCAGAGGAAUCAUCAUAGAGGCUUCUAGGCCCCCAUGCUGUGUGAACCUGGUGAGAAAGGGAAGUCUGCUCUCACUGGACACUGGAACUGUUUGUCUCUGUCUCUGCUGUACUUUCCCUGCCUCUACCUCACUUAGUAAAGAAAUCAUCUUUGCUUGAUAACUAAAACAACCAAUAAGGCUGAGAAAGGGGAAAACCCACAUCUGGAUUUAAAUACAAGGUAUUGGGCCAGCUGCUGGGGAUUAAACUUUGAACAAAACAGAUAGAAUCUAUGUCCUCAUGGGAGUGGCUAAUGGGAGAGUCGGAACAAAAAAAUAGCCAAGGAUAAUCCAGCAAAUGAUUUGGUGAAUGCUAUCAAAGAGAGAAAUACACAUGCUCUGGGAACACCAAGUAGGUACCUAAUACCUAACCUGUACCUGGGGGGCUGGAAAGGGCUUCUUGGAAGAGGCAGAGACUAAAAUGAAGAAUAAGCAUAAGUUAAGACAAAGCUGGGGUGGGGUCAGAAAGAGUGUGAUAGGCCAACGCAGCAACAUGAGCCAAGACUCAAAAAUAAGAGACAGUGUGGCACAUUUGAUGUAGGAAAGACAUUUAGCUGGGAUAGAAAGAAGGCUAGUGUUGGGGCUGAAUGAGGUUGCAUAAAAGUUUGUAAGCCAAGUUAAGGAAUUGAUCAAAUUUAUAUUUUAGAAUGAUCACUCUGACCUCAGCAUUACAUGACCUGAAGGGGUUAAGCCCAUACAUCUGUAGAGAGACCCGUUAGAAUAGGACUGCAGUAAUAUGGUGAGAGACACUGGUGCCUAACUAGGCUGGUGAUCAUAGAGAUAAAGGGAUAUAUGGGAGAGGUAGAGCCGACAGCCAUUGAUAACUGGUGGUCGGCCAGGUCAAGGGGACAGUGUCUGCUUUAGGUAAUUGGCUUGAUGAUAAUCUCAUUUUCAAAGAUCAGGAACACAGGCCUGAGAGUACAUUUGGAGAGGAAGAUGAUUCGGGUUUGCAUCAUGUAGGGUUCGAGGUGUCUAUGGGACACUAUAUGCAGAAGUCCAGUAGGCAAUUGGUUCUGUGGGCCUAGCACUCAGAGGAGAGUGCGAGUCUAAUGACAGAAAAUUGGCAGUCACCAUCGUGUAGAUGGUAAUGGAUGGUAUGAUUUGGGGUGAUUGCUGAGGCAGGAACAUGGGCACAAUGCUGAGGAGUGCAAAUGGCUAAGGGAUGGGACACAGCAGGAACCUGCAAAGGAGCCCAGAAAACAAGAAAUAGGGAGAAAGCCUGGGAACACUGUGAUUCUACGGAAUCACAGAAUUGAAGACAAACAAUGUGAAACUAAGUACAGGCCCAUUUACUAACAUAUGUGUGUGUAUAUAUAUAUAUAUAUAUAUAUAUAUACACACACACACAUAUAUAUACUUAUAUAUAUAUACACACACAUAUAUAUACUUAUAUAUAUAUACACUUAUAUAUAUAUACUUAUAUAUACUUAUAUAUAUAUACACUUAUAUAUAUAUACUUAUAUAUACUUAUAUAUAUAUACACUUAUAUAUAUAUACUUAUAUAUACUUAUAUAUAUAUAUAUAAAAUUUAUUUAUUUAUUUUUAUUUUAUUUUAUUUAUUUAUUUUUGAGACAGAGUCUCCCUCUCUGACCCAGGCUGGAGUGCCGUGGUAUGAUCUCGGCUCACUGCAACUUCUGCCUCCCAGCUUCAAGCAAUUCUCCUGUCUUAGCUUCCCAAGUAGCUGGGAUUACAGGCGUGCACCACCACACCAGGCUAAUUUUGUAUUUUUAGUAGAGACGGGGUUUUGCCAUGUUGGCCAGGCUGGUCUCGAACCCCUGACCUCAGGUGAUCUGCCCACCUCAACCUCCCAAAGUGCUGGGAUUACAGGUGUGAGCCACUGCAUCUGGCCUCAUAUAUUUUACUAUAACAAAUCAGUGUAGGCCAAAUAAAGUUAGAAAUGGAAGCUAAUGGAAAUAAAGAAUAGGCUUUCCUGUUAGUAUCUAUAGGUGUGUGUGUGUGUGUUCGUUAUUUAGGGAAAGAAACAGGGAACUUGGGGCAUAUAAUAUUUAUGUUCCCUUAGCUUAGGCAUAUAUGGUAUAUUUAGUUACUUAAUUAAUUUUUUAUUUAGAAGUUAUGUAUAGAGCAUUUUUCCUAGGCCAGUGGGGGAUUAAACCAGAAAUAUAAGAAGUGUCUGCCUUCUGGAAGCUUGUGAUCUAGUUAGGGGUAUCACAAGUGCACAGCGUUCACCAGUGGCAGAGAAGCAUGUGAUGAGUACCCAGAGCUUAUAUUGAGAAUAAGGUAUACAAGAAUUUAGAGGAGGCCAAUGUUGAUUUUCACCAAGAGUAUGGGACAGAGAGACAAGACAGGGUUGGUCAUCUAGUUCUGUGCACUGAAUAUAAUUUUGCAGGUUUAGGAGUGUUUGAAAACUACAAGGAAGAUAGAAUCUUGGUCUUGUUCUCCAGCAUGCCCUUUCUUGAACUCACCAGGGUAAUGCUGCAUCUUUUCAGAAAUGCCUCUGGCUUCUCAAAGCAACUUUCAUCCUGGAGAGGAACAAUUAGUCUUUGUCUUUCAUUAGUAAAAGAUUUAACGGCUCAGAAGGAGAAGCUAGUGGUGACUUUUCAAUCACCCCUUCUACCUCCCAG